AACCUUGUGGUGUAGCGUGUAGCACGCCGGCCAGUGUGUCGAAAGUAUGGGUUCGAUUCCCGUCGAGGUUC
Molecule: non-coding RNA, 71 nt
Organism: Podospora pseudocomata
Lineage: Eukaryota; Fungi; Ascomycota; Sordariomycetes; Sordariales; Podosporaceae
Source: the annotation of a RefSeq genome assembly